Lytechinus pictus (painted urchin) is the source of this 2478-nucleotide long non-coding RNA. RefSeq lists it as uncharacterized. The transcript is spliced from 4 exons. NCBI's taxonomy places the organism in Eukaryota, Metazoa, Echinodermata, Echinoidea, Temnopleuroida, Toxopneustidae. The record is from RefSeq and is a predicted model, not a curated record.
GUUUUCGACGCGACGAUGCAAAGUGAAACGAAGAAAUAAGAAGAAGAGAAGGUCCCCGGAGAGGUGAAUGAGGAUUUUACCACUAUGGACAUUUUAACAAUAUGCAGAAGAAGACGGGUCUGGAACUAGAAAGCUAGGCUCUGACUGGUCUACUACAGCAAGGAAUGUGCCAGCGGCCAAUCUGAUGAACAUGUGGCAGAAGAUUUGGCAAUGGGUGAAGAAAUACUGAGAUUGAAAUGCAACCACAGGUGGAGGCUUCACCCAAACUUUUCAGACAGACAUGAGAUACAAAGUUACCCAAGUAUAAAUGGUUGAAGGUUUAGGAGAGCCAGACAAGAAGGCAGGAAAUGUGAUGUCAAUUGUAAGUUACUUCAAUAAACAUGAACAGCAGCAGGAGCAACAACAUCAUCAGCAGCCGAAACCACAACUGCAGUAAGAGAUGCAACAACCACACCCACAACAACAAGAGCAGCAGCAAAAACAACAGAAAUUCCAGCAACCACGAUGACAACAGCAGCAGCAACACCAACAACACUAAUGAAUAUUGAAAAACUUGUACAAAAGUCAAUGAGGUCACAGUUUUCAGACAUUAUUGAUUAAAAAAUGCACAAUGAUUUAUUCGGGUUGAAGAAAAUAACAUGAAUGUUUGAAAAAAUGUGUACAUUUGAAGGUGUUUCCUAUCAAAUUGUAUCGAUUAAUUUAUGAAAAUAUAGUUUUAAAGAUAAAAAUAUGAUGCUUGAAAUGUCUACUUUUUAUUUGUCAUUGACUAAAAAUGAAUACAUUUUCUUUGAAUUUUCUUAAUGAAAUGAAAAAUAAGCAAUUUAUUAAAAUGUUAUACUCAAAAUCAACUGAAAUUGAUCGAUUUUAGCUGCUAAAGUCCAUAAAAGGCUGAUUAGUCGGUGAAAAUAAGUUUUGUCGGUAGGUGAAGGCUACCGACAAAAUUAGUCGGUGGUUUCCAAUAAUUUGUCAGAGAAAAUCACCGACAAAUUUUCAUGAAAUGGAAUUUAGUCGGUGAUGGCAAAAUUGUCGGUGAAAAUGAAAUUAGUCGGUGAAAAUCACAAUUAGUCGGAGAAAACCACCGACUAAUUGUUUGAUGAAACGCCCCCCAGGAGUACAACUCUUAUAAGAAAACAAAGGGAAUUUCAGUUUAUGCUUUUACAUGGAGCAAUAUAUACAAAAGAGCAUUUGAUGAGAUUUGGUUUCGUGGGAGAUAAUUAUUGUUCGUUUGGUUGUACAAAAACUGAAUCGUACUUUCAUAUACUCAUGGAUUGCAUAAAAGUUAAACCUCUUUGGCAAUUUUGUAUUGAUCAUUUUUGUUUAGCUGAAUUAAGAACUUUGAAUUGGAGGGAAAUAUUCUUAGGGUUACCUGGAAAUUCUUGUAGAAUUAAAUGUGUCAAUUCUGUUAUUCUUUUUAUUAAAUAUGCAAUUUUUAAUUCCAGAGCUGAAGGCCGGGUACCGUCAUUUAUUAAAAUACACAAAUAUAUAACGGGUUGUAUAGAAGAAGAAAGACGCCUGGCAACGAAGUCAGGCAAGUUAAGUUUACAUUUGCAGAAAUGGGAUGAACUGAAGGUGAAAAGGGAUUUGAAUGUGAACAGGUGGGAUGUGUCUAGUGUGGUGCGAGUGUGAAUCCUGGUGUGUAUGUUGAUGUUUUUUUUUUUCUUUUUACUAGUUCUUUUCAAUUUCCCCUUCUCUUGUAUCAAUAUCAUUUGCAGGUUUUUUUUCUUUCUGUAUCCUAUUGCGCCAAAAUGUUAAACGUUCAUUAUGCAGAUUUGUAUAUAUUAUGUUUGUUUACGUAUGCGUGGUAUGUGCAUGUGUGUAUGGGUGUUAAGGUGGGUGUGUGUAUGUGUGUAUAAUUAUGUAAAGUUAUGUUGAAGCUUGAUUUAAAAUGGGAUGCAAUGAUAAUACAUUUAGGUUGAUUUCUGUUCUGUGCAAAUCAUUUAUAUAGCCAUUUAACAUUAAUUAUUAUUGAAAUACAUAGAGGGUUGGGGACUCAGUUGAGUUAUUUUUUUUUCAGAUAUAAAAGUAUAAUUUUAAGGAGUUUCAUUCCGUCCUUAUUUGCUUCAGUUCUUGGUAAAUAUAUAUGUACUUUUUUGCAUAUCCUUGUUGAUAUGAAAUGAAGAUUUGUAUUUUGUUUUGUAUUUAUCUGCCGUUUAUGUAAUUCAUUUGAAUGAAAUCCUUAAUAAAAACAUAUUGAAAAAAAAAGUGUGUGUUUGAGGGUGGAUGGGUGUGUGAAGGUGGGUGUGGAUGAGUGAGUGUUUGAAAAUGGAAGAGACAAGUUAGCAACCAGUAUAUUCACCGGGCAGUAAAAUGAGAAUAUCAUAUAUCAAUGUUCAACGUAUUGUGAUUAGACAGUAUAAAGAUUAAAGUGGUUUAUUGAAAACAAGCUUCUGUUCGCAAGGACUUUCACCUGUCUCAUAGAAUUAAGGUGAUCUGCUUUACUUUAUUAUUUGUAUCGCUCAUCACUAGCGUAUGGGCCCC